AGUGGCGCACGGGUGCGUAACGCGUGGGAACCUGCCCUUAGGUUCGGAAUAACUCAGAGAAAUUUGAGCUAAUACCGGAUAAUGUCUUCGGACCAAAGAUUUAUCACCUUUGGAUGGGCCCGCGUUGGAUUAGCUAGUUGGUGGGGUAAAGGCCUACCAAGGCGACGAUCCAUAGCUGGUCUGAGAGGAUGAUCAGCCACACUGGGACUGAGACACGGCCCAGACUCCUACGGGAGGCAGCAGUGGGGAAUAUUGGACAAUGGGCGAAAGCCUGAUCCAGCAAUGCCGCGUGAGUGAUGAAGGCCUUAGGGUUGUAAAGCUCUUUUACCAGGGAUGAUAAUGACAGUACCUGGAGAAUAAGCUCCGGCUAACUCCGUGCCAGCAGCCGCGGUAAUACGGAGGGAGCUAGCGUUGUUCGGAAUUACUGGGCGUAAAGCGCACGUAGGCGGCUUUUUAAGUCAGGGGUGAAAUCCCGGGGCUCAACCCCGGAACUGCCCUUGAAACUGGGAAGCUAGAAUCUUGGAGAGGCGAGUGGAAUUCCGAGUGUAGAGGUGAAAUUCGUAGAUAUUCGGAAGAACACCAGUGGCGAAGGCGACUCGCUGGACAAGUAUUGACGCUGAGGUGCGAAAGCGCGGGGAGCAAACAGGAUUAGAUACCCUGGUAGUCCACGCCGUAAACGAUGAUAACUAGCUGUC
Molecule: ribosomal RNA, 695 nt
Filed under: uncultured Porphyrobacter sp.
Lineage: Bacteria; Pseudomonadati; Pseudomonadota; Alphaproteobacteria; Sphingomonadales; Erythrobacteraceae
Description: bacterial SSU rRNA
Rfam family: Bacterial small subunit ribosomal RNA
Source: RNAcentral